GGCACUUUUGGGGCAUUUGAGGCCAUUUUUGGGGCCAUUUUUGCGGCCAUUUUUGGGACCAUUUUUCGGGUCAUUUUUGGGGUCUUUUUGGGGCCAUUAUUGGUGUCAUUUUUGCCAUUUUUGGGGUCAUUUUUGAGGUCAUUUUUUGGGUCAUUUUUGCCAUUUUUGGGAUAUUUUGGGGUCAUUUUUGGGGCCAUAUCUGGGGCCAUUUUUGCCAUUUUUGGGUCAUUUUUGAGGCCAUUUUCAGGUCUUUUUGGGGUCAUUUUUGUGAUUUUUGGGGUCAUUUUUGGGUCAUUUUUUGGGUCAUUUUUGCCAUUUUUGGGGUCAUUUUUGAGGUCAUUUUUGGGGUUCAUUUUUGCCAUUUUUGGGGCCAUUUUGGGGGUCAUAAUUGGUCCCAUUUUUUGCCAUUUUGGGGCCGUUUUCAGCCAUUUUUGCCCCUUUAAGGCCAUUUGGGGGCCGUUUCGGUUCAUUUUGGGGUCAUUUUGGGGCCAUUUUUGCCAUUUUUGGGGCAUUUUGGGAGUCAUUUUUGGGGUAUUUUUGGGGUCAUUUUUGGGGCCAUUUUUGGGGUCAUUUUUGCCAUUUUUGGGACCAUUUUGGAGUCAUUUUGGGGCCAUUUUGGGGGCAUUUUUGGGGUCAUUUUUGGGGCCAUUUUUGGGGUCAUUUUUGCCAUUUUUGGGACCAUUUUGGAGUCAUUUUGGGGCCAUUUUGGGGGCAUUUUUGGGGUCAUUUUUGGGGCCAUUUUUGGGGUCAUUUUUGCCAUUUUUGGGACCAUUUUGGAGUCAUUUUGGGGCCAUUUUGGGGGCAUUUUUGGGGUCAUUUUUGGGGCCAUUUUUGGGGUCAUUUUUGCCAUUUUUGGGACCAUUUUGGAGUCAUUUUGGGGCCAUUUUGGGGGCAUUUUUGGGGUCAUUUUUGGGGUAUUUUUGGGGUAUUUUUGGGGCCAUUUUUGUGGUCAUUUUUGCCAUUUUUGGGCCAUUUUGGGGGCCAUUUUGGAGGUCCUUUUUGGAGUCAUUUUUGCCAUUUUGGGGCCAUUUUUGGGGUCCUUUCUGCCAUUUUGGGGGGCAUUUUGGGGGUCAUUUUUGGGAUCAUUUUUGGGGUCGUUUUUGCCAUUUUUGGGGUAUUUUGGGGUCAUUUUGGGGGCCAUUUUUUGCCAUUUUGGGGCCAUUUUCAGCCAUUUUUGCCCCUUUAAGGCCAUUUGGGGGCCGUUUCGGUUCAUUUUGGGGUCAUUUUGGGGCCCUUUUUCCCAUUUUUGGGGCAUUUUGGGGUCAUUUUUGCCAUUUUUGGGAUAUUUUGGGGUCAUUUUUGGGGCCAUAUCUGGGGCCAUUUUUGCCAUUUUUGGGUCACGUUUUGGGGUCAUUUUGGGGUCAUUUUUGCCAUUUUUGGGGCCUUUUGGGGCAUUUUGGCACUGACUGA
RNAcentral lists this long non-coding RNA (1410 nucleotides) under Chrysolophus pictus (golden pheasant). Its description in RNAcentral is "lncRNA (ENSCPIG00010006387.1)". The record is from RNAcentral. Lineage: Eukaryota; Metazoa; Chordata; Aves; Galliformes; Phasianidae.